UACGGAGGAUCCAAGCGUUAUCCGGAUUUAUUGGGUUUAAAGGGUGCGUAGGCGGAUUGAUAAGUUAGAGGUGAAAUGCCCGAGCUCAACUCGGGAACUGCCUCUAAUACUGUUGAUCUAGAGAGUAGAUGCGGUAGGCGGAAUGUAUGGUGUAGCGGUGAAAUGCUUAGAGAUCAUACAGAACACCGAUUGCGAAGGCAGCUUACCAAUCUAUAUCUGACGUUGAGGCACGAAAGCGUGGGGAGCAAACAGG
This 253-nucleotide ribosomal RNA is filed under the name uncultured bacterium. Its description in RNAcentral is "partial 16S ribosomal RNA". It matches the Rfam family "Bacterial small subunit ribosomal RNA", at positions 524 to 776 of the family's 1533-position model. The record is from RNAcentral.